RNAcentral lists this ribosomal RNA (643 nucleotides) under Polaromonas sp. B231_2. RNAcentral's name for it is "bacterial SSU rRNA". It matches the Rfam family "Bacterial small subunit ribosomal RNA", at positions 121 to 759 of the family's 1533-position model. Lineage: Bacteria; Pseudomonadati; Pseudomonadota; Betaproteobacteria; Burkholderiales; Comamonadaceae. The record is from RNAcentral.
GGAACGUGCCCAGUCGUGGGGGAUAACGUAGAGAAAUUUACGCUAAUACCGCAUACGAUCUAAGGAUGAAAGCGGGGGACCGUAAGGCCUCGCGCGAUUGGAGCGGCUGAUAUCAGAUUAGGUUGUUGGUGAGGUAAAAGCUCACCAAGCCGACGAUCUGUAGCUGGUUUGAGAGAACGACCAGCCACACUGGGACUGAGACACGGCCCAGACUCCUACGGGAGGCAGCAGUGGGGAAUUUUGGACAAUGGGCGAAAGCCUGAUCCAGCAAUGCCGCGUGCAGGAAGAAGGCCUUCGGGUUGUAAACUGCUUUUGUACGGAACGAAAAGGUCUGCCUUAAUACGGCGGGCCCAUGACGGUACCGUAAGAAUAAGCACCGGCUAACUACGUGCCAGCAGCCGCGGUAAUACGUAGGGUGCGAGCGUUAAUCGGAAUUACUGGGCGUAAAGCGUGCGCAGGCGGUGAUGUAAGACAGUUGUGAAAUCCCCGGGCUCAACCUGGGAAUUGCAUCUGUGACUGCAUCGCUAGAGUACGGUAGAGGGGGAUGGAAUUCCGCGUGUAGCAGUGAAAUGCGUAGAUAUGCGGAGGAACACCGAUGGCGAAGGCAAUCCCCUGGACCUGUACUGACGCUCAUGCACGAAAG